RNAcentral lists this ribosomal RNA (253 nucleotides) under uncultured bacterium. RNAcentral describes it as "partial 16S ribosomal RNA". It matches the Rfam family "Bacterial small subunit ribosomal RNA", at positions 524 to 776 of the family's 1533-position model. The record is from RNAcentral.
UACGUAGGGUGCAAGCGUUACUCGGAAUUACUGGGCGUAAAGCGCGCGCAGGCGGUCCUUUAAGUCUGAUGUGAAAGCCCACGGCUCAACCGUGGAGGGUCAUUGGAAACUGGGGGACUUGAGUACAGAAGAGGAAAGCGGAAUUCCACGUGUAGCGGUGAAAUGCGUAGAGAUGUGGAGGAACACCAGUGGCGAAGGCGGCUUUCUGGUCUGUAACUGACGCUGAGGCGCGAAAGCGUGGGGAGCAAACAGG